GAUGAACGCUGGCGGCGUGCCUAAUACAUGCAAGUCGAGCGAACAGACGAGGAGCUUGCUCCUCUGACGUUAGCGGCGGACGGGUGAGUAACACGUGGAUAACCUACCUAUAAGACUGGGAUAACUUCGGGAAACCGGAGCUAAUACCGGAUAAUAUAUUGAACCGCAUGGUUCAAUAGUGAAAGACGGUUUUGCUGUCACUUAUAGAUGGAUCCGCGCCGCAUUAGCUAGUUGGUAAGGUAACGGCUUACCAAGGCAACGAUGCGUAGCCGACCUGAGAGGGUGAUCGGCCACACUGGGACUGAGACACGGUCCAGACUCCUACGGGAGGCAGCAGUAGGGAAUCUUCCGCAAUGGGCGAAAGCCUGACGGAGCAACGCCGCGUGAGUGAUGAAGGUCUUCGGAUCGUAAAACUCUGUUAUUAGGGAAGAACAAAUGUGUAAGUAACUAUGCACGUCUUGACGGUACCUAAUCAGAAAGCCACGGCUAACUACGUG
Molecule: ribosomal RNA, 497 nt
Filed under: uncultured bacterium
Lineage: Bacteria
Description: partial 16S ribosomal RNA
Rfam family: Bacterial small subunit ribosomal RNA
Source: RNAcentral